GCUCCUUAUGCUUUUGCACCCUGAGAAGUAUCUGGAUCUGGCAUUAUUCUACAUUAGUAUUUCAUGCACAUUCCUUACAAUUGAAACCUCAACUCUUCUGAAAUCUACCACAAACUUUCACUGCAUCUACUACAUCAAAGAGCAAGACGACCUCUAUGCAAUAGGAGAAAUGAAAAGACUUCCUGAAUUCUGAGCCCAGAUACAAGGCAAUUUCAGUAACCUUCCUGUCACUGCCUCCCUCCUGUCUUCUGAUGAGUUGGCUGGUUGGG
Molecule: long non-coding RNA, 269 nt
Filed under: Chloebia gouldiae (Gouldian finch)
Lineage: Eukaryota; Metazoa; Chordata; Aves; Passeriformes; Passeridae
Description: Erythrura gouldiae (Gouldian finch) lncRNA (ENSEGOG00005011167.1)
Source: RNAcentral